CCAAUAGCGUAUAUUAAAGUUGUUGCAGUUAAAAAGCUCGUAGUUGAACUUCGGGGUUUGCUCAUUGGUCAGGCUUAAUUGUCUGUACUGGUGGGAUAAAUCUCUACCUUCUGAGGAACUUUCAUGCCAUUUAUUUGGUGUGAUGGGAAAUCAGGACUGUUACUUUGAAAAAAUUAGAGUGUUUAAAGCAGACUAACGUCUGAAUACAUUAGCAUGGAAUAAUGAAAUAGGACGGAUUGAUUCUAUUUCGUUGGUUUCUAGGAUCACCGUAAUGAUUAAUAGGGAUAGUUGGGGGCAUUAGUAUUCAAUUGUCAGAGGUGAAAUUCUUGGAUUUAUUGAAGACUAACUACUGCGAAAGCAUUUGCCAAGGAUGUUUUCAUUAAUCAAGAACGAAAGUUAGGGGAUCGAAGACGAUCAGAUACCGUCGUAGUCUUAACCAUAAACUAUGCCGACUAGGAAUCAGACGAUGUUAAUUUUUUAAUGACUCGUUUGGCACCUUACG
RNAcentral lists this ribosomal RNA (502 nucleotides) under uncultured Glomeromycotina. Its description in RNAcentral is "partial small subunit ribosomal RNA". It matches the Rfam family "Eukaryotic small subunit ribosomal RNA", at positions 591 to 1092 of the family's 1831-position model. Lineage: Eukaryota; Fungi; Glomeromycota. The record is from RNAcentral.